GCUGGGUGUGGUGGCGCACACCUGUAAUCCCAGCUACUAGGGAGGCUGAGGCAGGAGAAUUGCUUGAGCCCAGGAGGUGGAGGUUGCAGUGAGCUGAGAUCACACCACCGCACUCUAGUCUGGGUGUCAAAGCGAGACUCUGUCUCGG
Macaca fascicularis (crab-eating macaque) is the source of this 148-nucleotide unclassified non-coding RNA. It matches the Rfam family "Metazoan signal recognition particle RNA". Rfam says of the family: The signal recognition particle (SRP) is a universally conserved ribonucleoprotein. It is involved in the co-translational targeting of proteins to membranes. Lineage: Eukaryota; Metazoa; Chordata; Mammalia; Primates; Cercopithecidae. The record is from Ensembl.